Glycine soja is the source of this 264-nucleotide long non-coding RNA. RefSeq lists it as uncharacterized. The record is from RefSeq and is a predicted model, not a curated record. The transcript has 2 exons. Lineage: Eukaryota; Viridiplantae; Streptophyta; Magnoliopsida; Fabales; Fabaceae.
CUUCCUCAUUGCUUUUCACAUUCUCUGCCAGGUAUCUAUCUCUGCAAUUUCAACGUUCAACACUUGUUUGAUUCAAUUUCAACGUUCAACACUUGUUUGAUUCAAUUUCAAAGGCCUCGGUGUCAAUCUUGUUUUCAGAGAUCUAUACGAUCACCAAAGUUUGGUGAGUGCGAUAAAGCAGGUCGAUGUGGUAAUUUCUACUGUAGGACACCUGCAGCUAGCUGAUCAAGAUAAGAUCAUUUCUGCAAUUAAAGAAGCAGGAAA